CGGGAAUAUUGCGCAAUGGAGGAAACUCUGACGCAGUGACGCCGCGUAUAGGAAGAAGGUUUUCGGAUUGUAAACUAUUGUCGUUAGGGAAGAUACAAGACAGUACCUAAGGAGGAAGCUCCGGCUAACUACGUGCCAGCAGCCGCGGUAAUACGUAGGGAGCAAGCGUUAUCCGGAUUUAUUGGGUGUAAAGGGUGCGUAGACGGGACAACAAGUUAGUUGUGAAAUCCCUCGGCUUAACUGAGGAACUGCAACUAAAACUAUUGUUCUUGAGUGUUGGAGAGGAAAGUGGAAUUCCUAGUGUAGCGGUGAAAUGCGUAGAUAUUAGGAGGAACACCGGUGGCGAAGGCGACUUUCUGGACAAUAACUGACGUUGAGGCACGAAAGUGUGGGGAGCAAACAGGAUUAGAUACCCUGGUAGUCCACACCGUAAACGAUGGAUACUAGGUGUAGGAAAUGAUUUCAUUUUCUGUGCCGUCGCAAACGCAAUAAGUAUCCCACCUGGGGAGUACGGCCGCAAGGUUGAAACUCAAAGGAAUUGACGGGGGCCCGCACAAGCAGUGGAGUAUGUGGUUUAAUUCGAAGCAACGCGAAGAACCUUACCAGGGCUUGACAUAUAGAUGAAUAACUAAGAGAUUAGUUAGUCCUUCGGGACAUCUAUACAGGUGGUGCAUGGUUGUCGUCAGCUCGUGUCGUGAGAUGUUAGGUUAAGUCCUGCAACGAGCGCAACCCCUGUGAUUAGUUGCCAACAGGUUAAGCUGGGAACUCUAAUCAGACUGCCGGUGAUAAAUCGGAGGAAGGUGGGGAUGACGUCAAAUCAUCAUGCCCUUUAUGUCCUGGGCUACACACGUACUACAAUGGCUGUAACAGAGAGAAGCAACACCGCGAGGUAGAGCGAAACUCCAAAAGCAGUCUCAGUUCGGAUUGAAGGCUGAAAUUCGCCUUCAUGAAGCCGGAAUUGCUAGUAAUGGCAGGUCAGCAUACUGCCGUGAAUACGUUCCCG
This 1003-nucleotide ribosomal RNA is filed under the name uncultured bacterium. RNAcentral describes it as "bacterial SSU rRNA". It matches the Rfam family "Bacterial small subunit ribosomal RNA", at positions 356 to 1376 of the family's 1533-position model. The record is from RNAcentral.